Sapajus apella (tufted capuchin) is the source of this 106-nucleotide long non-coding RNA. RefSeq lists it as uncharacterized. The record is from RefSeq and is a predicted model, not a curated record. The transcript is spliced from 3 exons. NCBI's taxonomy places the organism in Eukaryota, Metazoa, Chordata, Mammalia, Primates, Cebidae.
AAGAUGGGGCAGUGUAUAAACGUGUGAAAGGUAGACAGGGGUCCACUCGUGCAGGGGAUGUAUGUCAUGCUGAGGAGACCAGACACUGAUUGCGACUAUAUUUUCA